CUACUCUGCUGUUCCUCUGUCUUCCAGACUCUGGGUGGGUGGAGCAGGUGGGGGGCCA
Molecule: microRNA precursor, 58 nt
Filed under: Chlorocebus sabaeus (green monkey)
Lineage: Eukaryota; Metazoa; Chordata; Mammalia; Primates; Cercopithecidae
Description: miRNA (ENSCSAG00000023386.1)
Source: RNAcentral